Molecule: ribosomal RNA, 305 nt
Filed under: uncultured bacterium
Lineage: Bacteria
Description: bacterial SSU rRNA
Rfam family: Bacterial small subunit ribosomal RNA
Source: RNAcentral
GGAUUCCUACGGGGCGCAGCAGUGGGGAAUAUUGGGCAAUGGGCGCAAGCCUGACCCAGCAACGCCGCGUGAAGGAAGAAGGCCCUCGGGUUGUAAACUUCUUUUAUUCGGGACGAAACAAAUGACGGUACCGAAUGAAUAAGCCACGGCUAACUACGUGCCAGCAGCCGCGGUAAUACGUAGGUGGCAAGCGUUAUCCGGAUUUACUGGGUGUAAAGGGCGUGUAAGCGGGAAAGCAAGUCAGACGUGAAAUUCCAGGGCUCAACUCUGGAACUGCGCUUGAAACUGUUCUUCUUGAGUGAUGG